CCCAGGGACAGUCUCAGACUGGGGGCGGGGCGUGGGCUGCAGGGGGUGGGCAGGCAGGUGAGGGAGGAGCUUGGGAUGGAGAAGUGACAGGGCUACUGGCUGCAGGGAAUGUGCUGGGUUUCCAUUGACCAGGGGACCUUCUGGGCCACUGCAAUUUCACUUUCCCAGAAAGUGAAACCGAAAUGGAGCCUGGUCAUGUGGCAGCAGGCGAGGUAUAUAAGGGGCCGCCUCAGACUCCUGCUCUUGCUUCCAGAUCUGCAGCUGGGCAGACGCGGUUGCCAGCAGCCCCCGCCGGAGGCAUGGAGUGUCCUUCGUGCCAGCAUGUCUGCAAAGAGGAAGCCCCCAAGUUCUGCAGCCAGUGCGGACACAGACUACCUCCUCCUGUGGCCCCCGUGGCAGAUCCCGGGCGCAGUGAUGCUGCAGCGGCCCCGGAGGGCGGCUUGGAGUGUGGGGAGGAGGCGAAGGAGGAAGGGAGCUCUUGUCUGUCCCCAGGCUCAGGUGAUUGUCCAGAAAGCCCAGAUGAGCCCUGUUCCGAAGCCCCUUGGACUGUCCAGCAGACUGGCAAGCCCAGAAACUGGCAAGCUCAGAACUGGAUGAUCCGAGGCCAGGAAAGGUUCGCACAGAUGUGGAAGGCCGUGACCGCAGGGCUCUACCGACGCCUGCCGAGAAAUAGCGCCGACCACAUGCUCACAUUGCGAUGGGCGGAGGUGGAAGACAGCAGUUCAGAAACGCAGAGACUCUUGGGCAGCCAGCGUGGGGACGUGCUCUACCCGACACUGGAGGAGAGCGCCUGCCGACCGCCCUGGGAGGCGUGGUUUUAUCCAUCAGACGGUGGAGUUCUGUGUGAGGCCGAGACCAAGGACGAGGCGGCCGUUGCUGGGGAGAACGCUGCUGAGAAGGAGCGCGGGCAGGGGGGAGGCCCGAAGGAGCCAGAAGGGAACAGCAGAGGCUGUGCCACGGCUGCUGAGAAGGAGCGCGGGCAGGGGGGAGGCCCGAAGGAGCCAGAAGGGAACAGCAGAGGCUGUGCCGCGGCUGCGAAGAGCGAGAAGGAGCACAGCCACCAGAGCGCCGCCCCGCAGGAAGUCACGGCCAGCCCGCCGAGCCCCGGAGAAGGCGUCACGGUGUACUUCCACGCCAUCCUCUCCAAAGACUUUGAUUUCAACCCCGACCGCCAUACGUUGUUUGUCCGCGGGGGAGGGGAGCUUGGGCAGCCGGAAUGGAGCAGGCGCGUCUGCGAGCUGCACUGCACCAGGCACCUGCCCGAGGAGGGCUGGCUGGUCGAGGGCAGCGCCGUCAUUUCCAGGCGGCACCUGGACACACCCAUCCCUUACAAGUACGUCGUUGGGCACGACAAGGGCUCUGGGGAGUACGAGUUCAUCUACAAGGUCCCACAGAGGCAGGGCGAGCAAGUCAACCGCUGCCUGUGCAUAAAAUCUUCACUCCUGGGCGCAGGAGAGUGGCAUCAGUACGAUGACAUAAUUUGUAUGAGGCCUCUUGAGAUGUUCCAGGGAGUCCUAGACCACGUAACAGAAGAGAGGAGGAGGUCGCUGGUGAAAGGGAAGCAGCGGGCCGCCACCGUGAUGCUGGACAGCAUCUUCAGUGUCCUCCAGACCUGGGAUGCCAUCAACUUAAACAGCUUCUUCACCCAGUUCCAGCAGUUUUACUCUGUCGUCCGAGCGCCCAUGAUCUACGAAGGACGUGCACAGCCCUGGAGCGAUUUGCGCUAUGGAGAGAAAGAGGUGAAGAAGGACUUGUGGGAGUAUUUGAAAAAGCAAAUGGACUCAUUUCUGGACGGGUCGGGGGACUCUCUGCCUGACGGCUGCCCGGUGAGGAGCAGACUGAGAAUGGGCCUGAUCGUGCUUUUCUCGGUGGAAAAGUUCGGCUUGCCCAUGUCAGAAGAUGACCUGGACUUGCUGUGUCGCAUGCUUGUCCCGGACGCCAGCUCACCGCACGACCUUCACGACGACCUCAGCCACAUCCUCAGGACAGCUCAGAGCUGGCGCCAGUACCUGGUGGCCCUGUGCCACUCGUGCGUCGACAAGCGGCUGUUCCGCUGGCUGGGCACGCUGCCCGUGCUGCACCACUGUGCGAAGCCGUCCCCUGGAGGGAAGGACACUGGGAGUCGGCCUGAGGACACCUGGGCAGCCCUCGAGGGUCUCUCCUUCUCGCAGUUCCGGGAGAAAAUGGCGUGCCGGUAAGUCGCGGCGCGGCACUGGCGGGUGCAGAUUUGGGACUGACGCCCGCGCCCCGCUGCCUGGA
This is a long non-coding RNA of Microcebus murinus (gray mouse lemur), 2259 nucleotides long. Lineage: Eukaryota; Metazoa; Chordata; Mammalia; Primates; Cheirogaleidae. The record is from Ensembl.